AACUCUAGAACAAAGGGAAAAUAACUAUUCUUUCCCGCAAACACCUUACCUCUCAGAUCCAACCAAAUUUCUUUUACACAACACCUAUUACAAAGUUCUCAAGGCUUCCCUGCUUUUACCCCCAUUUCCUCAUUGUCUUCUUCCUUCGCUCACCACCCAUUAAGCAGCAGCAUUUCCACCCACAACAAGCGUGAGAACCAUCCAGAAGAAAGUUCACUUGACAUCUGAUUUUUACUCAUUUGUUUAUUACUUUUUUCUGCUUUAGACUCCAAGCGUUUGAUCAAAGUUAUCGGUCGAAAUCUGGUUAAUAUGAACUCCUCGGUUUUUGCAGAUGAAGCAACUGAAGGUGACACAGAAGCCGCGGUGGUGGGAAGAAGUGGAUGAAAUCAGCAAGCCCAAGGUGCAUAGUAUCUUGUUUCUAUGUUGUUUGUUAGUCUCACUUUUUAUAUGAGGAGUUGUUUUGAUUAAUAUAGACUAGUGAUAGAGGGGAAGGCGGUGGAGUUGUACUGCAAGGUGUUCCUUGAGGUGAAUCCGCUCUAAUAACCUGUGAUGUCCUAAAGCAGUUUAGUGAUGACAUUCAACUUUGUCAAAUGAGAAAAUGGGGUAAAGUUCAGGCGGUUUCACUGCUUUGAUGUCUUGUUUUGAUCGAUAUAGAUACAUUUACGUCAAACUAGUAAGAUGAAGUGUUUUCCUUAACCACUUGUUUACUAGUACUUAAAAAAAAAUAUUUUUGGCUUGAAAAGUUAUGCUAAAUAAAUUGUUUUUAGUUGAAAUUUUUUACUUUUUAAAAUUAUUUUUGAAAAAGAAAAGAGAAAUUAAAAUUUUGAGCUUUCUUCUACUAAAAGUAUAUUUGGUGCUUAAUUACUUUUUAACUCUUUCAAUAACAUAAUACUUUUUUUAUGUUUAAUUACAGAUGUGUUAAAAUUAUAAUUAACUAAUUUGAGUAUCAUUUAAAUGCAUAUUUGUUACUUAAUAAUAUGUCUAAAAUAAACAUUUUAUUUCUCAAGAGUACUUUUUAACAAUAAUACUAAAUACUUAAAUUUUAAACCAAAUUUUUUAAAAAUACUUUUUAAAAAUACUUUUUCAUAUCAUGAUUUUUAAAAGUAUUGUUAAACUAGCCCUAAGGAAUUACAAAUGAGGGGGAAAAUGAAAAAGCAAACAACACAUUUGGUAGAUAUUGAUUUGGAAGAAUUUAAAAGUUUUUCAUGAAAUACAUAUAUUACUAACAGCAAUAGAAGUUUGGAUCACUUUCUUUGUUCCCUAUUGGUAGGCUUAGUUUCUUUUGAAGGUUAGCUUUUCACUUUUAUCUUGGUUUUUUUUUUAAUUCGCAUGAAGCCUUUAAUAUUAUGGCCUCAUUAGUGUCUGAAGUUUCCAACUUGUUAUUCUAUUUCUACCACAUUUCAUGUUAAUGGCAAUUGAAUAUUAUCUUUGUUUGGUUCUCAAAACUGACAAUUGUUGUGCUGAUCUUCAACAGCGGCUGAAUAAUAUUCUUGACCUCUUACCCAUUUUGUAAUAUUUAUUUUAUUUAUAUUUUGAGAGACACACUUAGGCUUUGCUCUUUCAGCAGGAAAUCAGGUACAAGUAGAAGUUGGGGUGCAUUUUAGAGCAAUUUCUUUUCAUCCAAUUCGGUCCUUUUCUUUCAAUUCUAUGGACACCACUAUUUGGUUACACUUACCUAAAAAUAUCCUAAUUUAGUUGAAGCCCAAAGUUAGGCUGACUCAUAAUUUAUACAGAGACAGAGAUAACACUUCAGUUCGCUUGCUGGUCCUUUAGUGCCCAGUGAUUCUCCGCCUAGUUAGGUGCUACUUCUGGCUUUGAGGUAGUUAAAAUUUAAGAAGGUAGAGCCUACUAAUUUGGUAUUGCACUUUUCAAUCCCGAAGCACAUAUAGUGUGAUGGCCUCUGUACUUUGGAUAUGUGGCCCCUAAACUUUUAAAAUAUCCAAUCAAAGGUACUUGAAUACAAAAGUUCAAAGCUUUUCAGUGAAAUGAGUUUUUUUUUUUUUUAAGAAUUUUUCUUUUCUUUUCUUUCAGGUUUACUUAUGCUUUUAAAUGUUCUCGAAUUUUUUUUUUUACUAAGAGGUGAAAUGAGAGAAACGAACAUGUAGAAUUUUAAUUUUUGGGUUAAUGAUUUUAUGUGUUUUUUCUUCUUGUAGAAGAGAAAUGAAAACAGUGAUAUGAAAUAAAUUUCUGGGUUAAUGAUUUUUUUUGUGUUUUAAUUUUUGGGUCCCUGGAUUAUCUAUGGACAAUAUCUAACUGUACAGCCUUGGACGAUGAAUUUCAACCCUGCUCAACCUUUUUUUAGUGUGGUUAUAGCGUGGAUUAGGCUUCCUGGCUUACCGGGAUAUAUGUAUAAAAGGAAAAUCCUUCUGGAAAUAGGGGAAUUGUUGGGUCAGUUACAAAGUUCGAUCUGAACACCGACAGUUGGACAAGAGGGCGUUUUGCCCGCAUGGUUGUGUAUGUUAGUCUGGAUAUAUCCAAGGUUUUGGUUAAUGGCUCCGACAGUUGGACAAGAUGGCGUUUUGCCCGCAUGGUUGUGUAUGUUAGUCUGGAUAAGCCUCUAAUAUCCAAGGUUUUGGUUAAUGGCAAACCACAGAGAGUCGAGUAUGAAUUUUUAUCGUCAGUUUGCUUUGAAUGUGGUAGAUACAGGUAUAUAAAAUAAACUUGCCUAAAUGGACAUUUGGAGAGAAAUGCUGAGACGGAGGCGCCGCAGAUAGUCUCAAAACUGGAGGAAUCGAAGACGGCUCACAAAGGAUCGGACAUAGACGAAGGGCCGUACGGGCCAUGGAUGCUGGUAGAGCGAAAGGUACGUCGUAGAUCGAGGGACAAUAAGGUGACUGGUGCGGGAAACUUGGAGAAUACUUUCAUUGGAUCAAGAUUUAUGGCGUUGUUCUCUCUAGAUAAGGACAUGGAGGAAUUUGAUCUUAAGAAUAAGGGAACAAGAGGCGCCAAAAAUAAAGGUAAAGAAACCCUAGCAAAUGCUACUCAAUGGGCAAGAUUAAUGCUCCCUUUAGAUGCAAAAUAAGCCAAGGUGAGAUGGAAUAUUGAGAGAAUAUUCUUUUUCACUGCAUUGUUUGAUGUUUGGAUAACUGAGGUGAGCUACGGUUAAAAAUUUCCAUUUCACUGCUGGUUUUAUUUUGGACUGGAGCUAAAGGUAAUAGUGGGAAAGAAAGCUAGAACGCUAUUUUUUCACUAUAACCUUUUUGUUCUUAUUAAGUCCAAUAAAA
This 3224-nucleotide long non-coding RNA is filed under the name Gossypium barbadense (sea-island cotton). RNAcentral's name for it is "long non-coding RNA (GBAR_LNC002358)". The record is from RNAcentral. Lineage: Eukaryota; Viridiplantae; Streptophyta; Magnoliopsida; Malvales; Malvaceae.